Molecule: ribosomal RNA, 263 nt
Filed under: uncultured bacterium
Lineage: Bacteria
Description: partial 16S ribosomal RNA
Rfam family: Bacterial small subunit ribosomal RNA
Source: RNAcentral
GUCCACGCCCUAAACGAUGGCAACUAGUUGUUGGGGAUUAACAUCCUUAGUAACGCAGCUAACGCGUGAAGUUGCCCGCCUGGGGAGUAUGGUCGCAAGAUUAAAACUCAAAGGAAUUGACGGGGGCCCGCACAAGCGGUGGAUGAUGUGGUUUAAUUCGAUGCAACGCGAAAACCUUACCUACCCUUGACAUGCCAGGAAGACCGCAGAGAUGUGGUUGUGCCCGAAAGGGAACCUGGACACAGGUGCUGCAUGGCUGUCGU